RNAcentral lists this ribosomal RNA (252 nucleotides) under uncultured bacterium. Its description in RNAcentral is "partial 16S ribosomal RNA". It matches the Rfam family "Bacterial small subunit ribosomal RNA", at positions 524 to 776 of the family's 1533-position model. The record is from RNAcentral.
UACGGAGGAUGCGAGCGUUAUCCGGAUUUAUUGGGUUUAAAGGGUGCGUAGGCGGUCCGUUAAGUCAGCGGUAAAAUUGCGGGGCUCAACCCCGUCGAGCCGUUGAAACUGUCAGACUUGAGUUGGCGAGAAGUACGCGGAAUGCGCGGUGUAGCGGUGAAAUGCAUAGAUAUCGCGCAGAACUCCGAUUGCGAAGGCAGCGUACCGGCGCCACACUGACGCUGAGGCACGAAAGCGUGGGGAUCGGACAGG